GCCUGUGUGCAGAGUGAUAUGCAAACUGGCACCAGGGUGUGUGUGAGCAUGGCCUUCCCAAUUUCCCACACACACGUUUGGGUUGUUUCCAGUCUCCUGUGCCCAGCAGGGCUGUGUGUGGCUGUGGAGCUGCAGAUGGAGGCUUCCAGGCCCCGAUCUUCAGGUCUAUUGGAAAACAGUCCCAGAAAGUCAGAUAGAGAAACUGUUUUUCUUUGGCAACCGCAGACUUGUACAUAGAGGGGCUGCACAGAGAUCCCUAUCCCUGAGGGAUCCAGGUACCAUGUGAAUGCACAACGGUGCUUGGGCUCUGGCUCAGGUCUUCCUUUUGCCACUUAUUAGUGACCCCAAGCAUGCUGCUUUAUGUUGUGUGCCUCAGUUUCCUCAUUAGUAAAAGGGCAUAUAACAUUAUCUAACUCCUGGUGUUUGCUGAGAAUUGACCAGGGGAGAGUACCUGAGGACAGCUCUACUGUCUCCGGGGUGCAGCCAUGAGCUUUUGGUGUAUAUGAAUUCCAGUCUGAUUUGCACGUCUGUUUCUGGACAGUGGACAUGCAGAAUCCAGUUUUCCAGUUUGGGCCCCACCACUGUGACACUGCAGUGUAAAAUGGGAACAAGGAGCAACUGAUGAAGAAAAGAACUGGAUUACCACGAAUGCUGUUAGGAAUCUUUGCCGAUCUGCAUCCAGAGCCAGGUUUAAACCACAGGCAGGGUUGUAACCAUGGCUUUGAAUGCUGGUCUCUGUCCGGCGGCGUGCUCUCAGGGGGAAACCUGUCUCAGCAGCAGGUAAACAUAAAGCCUGCCUCAGACUUCCAGCAGUAUUGUGUCCAGGUCUGUCUCCAUGUCUGGAGGGAGAUGUGAUCAAGAUGGAAAUGCCUUGGAAAAAAAUCAGCAGUGAUGGCCAGGUAGUGUCACCAGGUACUGGUCAUAAACAGGAUGGGCGAGAUGCUCAGAGAAGGAAGCUGGGGUGUGUGUGCGUGUGUGUGCAGGGUGCUGAAAGAGAAAUCGGAGCCCAGACCCAGGCUGUGCCUGCUGCCUCUAGGCUGAGGUGA
Molecule: long non-coding RNA, 1046 nt
Filed under: Fukomys damarensis (Damara mole-rat)
Lineage: Eukaryota; Metazoa; Chordata; Mammalia; Rodentia; Bathyergidae
Description: lncRNA (ENSFDAG00000031263.1)
Source: RNAcentral